GGACUACUCGGGUUUCUAAUCCUGUUUGCUCCCCACGCUUUCGUGUCUCAGCGUCAGUGAUGGUCCAGAAAGCCGUCUACACCACCGGUGUUCCUCCUGAUAUCUACGCAUUUCACCGCUACACCAGGAAUUCCGCUUUCCUCUCCCAUACUCGAGCCCUCCAGUUUCCGGCGCACCCUCCCAGUUGAGCCGGGAGAUUUCACACCGAACUUAGAGAACCGCCUACACACUCUUUACGCCCAGUAACUCCGAACAACGCUUGCUGCCUACGUAUUACCGCGGCUGCUGGCAC
This 292-nucleotide ribosomal RNA is filed under the name uncultured Acidobacteriota bacterium. RNAcentral describes it as "uncultured Acidobacteria bacterium partial 16S ribosomal RNA". The record is from RNAcentral. Lineage: Bacteria; Pseudomonadati; Acidobacteriota.